CCCUAGUAGAAUCCCUACUAGAUGGAUGAAAAACUAAAAGAUAGAUAGACAGACAGACAGACAGAUACAGUAGAUAGAUACAUGUUUAUUAUUUCUAAUAACUGAGCACCCAUUACCCAUUACCUUACUUACUAUCAAUAAGUUAAUAGUUAAUAGUGAAUGUAUUCCCUAAUCUAAAGUGUUACUGGUUAAUUUGUACAAUUUAUAAAUGUAUACAUUUGAACACGUUCAAAGGUUUACGCUUUACAUGCUGUCAGUAUGUUCAAAUUGUAAUGUUCAGUCUCUAUACAAACACUCAAAAACGUAUGUGUACACUUUACAUACAAAUGCCUACAAAUACAAAUGAGAUAUCACUGGAUGACAGACCUUAACAGACAUUAACUUACCACCAUCUUCACAGCUCUGUGUGUUGUAGGACACUAUGGGGUUCUACUUGCAUUGCCUUGAGCUUGUUCUGCAGGUGGUGAGGUAGAAAGGUGUUGAAGGCCCUACAGAAGAAAAGGAUCAGUCCUGACAGUAGUGCCAGACGUAGCAGGUGGAAGCAGGACCUGUUGAGAAAGCAGAUGAGGGCAUCGUCCACACUGGUGUGGGACCGGGUCAGAGCUGUUUAAGGACCAACCUCUCAAAGGUUCUCAUGAUGCGUGAAGUGAGACAAACUGAUCUGCUGCCAGGGAGCCCUGGAAACGCUCAGUGUUCUCCAGAGUUGGGGCACCUUCAUCAAACUCAACAACAACAGCUGCACAAGAGAGUCACAUCUGUUGAAGAUAUGAUUCAGCUCAUUUUCUCCUCCACACAAGUCUGGAUUGAUGUCACGGUAGCAGACAUUCUAACCAGUUUAAGCUGCCAUUAUAUCUGGGCUUUUGAAAACAAUGCAAAGCGGAACACCACAGGUGCAAAUGCAUGCAACACAGUCGGUGAUAUUUGCUAUUUUUGCUUUUGCUACAACUGGGGGUUAUUUUGGUUCUACCAGUUUCAACAUUAAGUGCAAGGACAGUGCCAGCAAAGAAACAGAUGUAUCCUUCAGCUAUCCUUUUAGGGGCAAACUGAACCAUUCCAGCCAAACCUUGACCCCACAGAUUCUCUCACCAGUGAGUGCAGAACGAGCAAGGAGAUUGAAAACCUUGAGUCGAUCUUGACAG
Cyprinus carpio carpio is the source of this 1139-nucleotide long non-coding RNA. Lineage: Eukaryota; Metazoa; Chordata; Actinopteri; Cypriniformes; Cyprinidae. The record is from Ensembl.